This 264-nucleotide signal recognition particle RNA is filed under the name Clostridiaceae bacterium. RNAcentral describes it as "signal recognition particle sRNA large type". It matches the Rfam family "Bacterial large signal recognition particle RNA". From Rfam's summary of the family: The signal recognition particle (SRP) is a universally conserved ribonucleoprotein involved in the co-translational targeting of proteins to membranes. Archaeal SRP consists of a 7S RNA and homologues of the eukaryotic SRP19 and SRP54 proteins. In most bacteria, the SRP consists of a 4.5S RNA and the Ffh protein (a homologue of the eukaryotic SRP54 protein). The record is from RNAcentral. Lineage: Bacteria; Bacillati; Bacillota; Clostridia; Eubacteriales; Clostridiaceae.
CUGUGCUAGAUGGGGAGCUAGCGGUGCCCUGUAAACUGCAAUCCGCUACAGCAGUAUCGAACACUGCCCCCGGCGCGUCCUAUGGGUGACCGGCGGCGAUAAGGAAUGUUGAUAACAAGGUCUUGUGCAACGUUGCGCUGUGAACCGUGUCAGAGCUUGACCGCAGCAGCACUAAGCAGUUUGCGGCGUGUGCCACGAGGGAGCUUUGGGGGAGUCACCUGUCGUCGUGUCGAAUCGGUAGGCGUUGUCAAAGGCAGCGCACAG